Phacochoerus africanus (Common warthog) is the source of this 8596-nucleotide long non-coding RNA. RefSeq lists it as uncharacterized. The record is from RefSeq and is a predicted model, not a curated record. Lineage: Eukaryota; Metazoa; Chordata; Mammalia; Artiodactyla; Suidae. The transcript is spliced from 6 exons.
ACAGGCAGCUGGGUGGUGAAAGAGGUGAAGAGGUCAGGAGAGUCAGAGGCAGCCCGCGGCGCCAGCGUCCCCUUUAAGAUCUGCCCGCCUGGGCGUUGUGCAUGAAGCCCACCACGUCAUCUAGCCCCCAGCACAGGGCAUCUGCCAGCAGGACCAGUGACUCAUCGAAGUACUCGGCCACCAAGACCAAGUCAAAGACAGAGUCCAGCCAGGCCAGACUCCACUGGAUGAAGGAUGAAGAUCCCAAAUCUGAAGAAGCAGGGCUGGAUGUCCUACUGUGACCGUCAGCAAGGGUGGGAACAGGAUGGAAGAGAGCGUUAGGAUCCAGGGUGUGGGCUGGAGGGCCAGCACCAGAAGGCAAGACACGCAGCUGUGGGGCCUUGGGGUCUCUGGGGGGGCGAGGAUUCCCUGUUUUGGUCCUCAUCUCUGGAGGGAAGGGGAGGCCAAAGUCAAACCAUAGCAAGUUGCGCGCAUAGUGGUCUCCACGGGCCCCUGGCCGGUAGAAGGCUCGAGGAUUGGCCAGGAAGGCAGCCAAGGAGGGUGCUUUGCGGAAAGCCGACGAGGUGGAUUUAUAGUAGGAGAAGGCAGAGCGGGUCAGAGCUGCUGGGUCUCGAACAAUGGAAAAGAAGAAGCUGUCAGAAGGCAUGACCUGAAGUACCUGCAGAGGAGAGAAAACAGACUUAGGGAGAGAGAACUAAGAGCAAACCCAGUGCCCGCUGAACCCCCAGCCUCUUCCAGCCUCCUUCUGACAGCUCUGCUGGGAACCUCUCAGCUUCCUUCACUAGCUGCACAGAUCUUGGGUAGGGCAUUUGACAUCUCUGAGACUCAGUUUGCUCAUCUGCAAAAGGGGAGCCAUCCUACCUUCCUUGCAGAGGUAUGUGAUUGCAGAGAUUACAUGAGGUAAGGACGUGAAGGAGCCUGGAAUGUGGGAAGCUCCUGGAGAACAUUAAUUUCCUUGGGCCUUUCUGUCUGCCUUGGUCAGUAAAACCUCUGGGAAUUAAACUCUGUGUUCAGUUCGCCAAUGAAAACCUAUUAAGUGCCUACCCUGGGACUCUUGGUCACAGCUCCAAGAAAGGAAUCGGCCUCAGGCCUCCUCAGGGGGAUCAUGGGCAGCCAAUAGGGAGGAGAGGGGACAACCAAUGCUGUCUCGGGGGCAGGCCAAGCCCAGGAUGGCCGAAAGAUGGGUCACUUGGGGGGUUCCUUCCCAUCUUGGAGAGCAAGAGACACCCCUGGAAUGGAUGUUGGGGAGCCAUGGCCACUUGGUUGGGUGCCGCUCUGAGGCCUGGGACAUGUGAUCCCACUUCUGGGCAAGAGGGAAGGAGGGAAUUGGGCUGAGCCGCACCCUAACAUGUUCCUGCAGGCAGGUCCACAUCAGAACCCAGCUCUGGGGCUCCCUAAAGAGUUUCUGCCUCGGAAGGUCACAGCUGUCAUUGAACCUGACUUCCUGACAAGUCCUCCAAUCCGCUCUGCAGAUGUGGGCAUGGCCGCAGGGCAGAAUCCACAAACUGUGUGUCUCUUUGAAGGCAUAGGGGAGCGGUGCAGAGAACAGGCUGUGGCAUCAGCUGGACCUGGAAUAAACUCCCAAUUCAGCCAUUUACCAAUGGUGUACCUUUGAGCAGGUCAUUGAACUUCUCAGAGCCUUCAUUCCUCCAUCCGUAAGUCUGGGUUAACACUUACCUUGAAGAAUGUGGAAGAGCAGGGAACGUGGGAGAUGUUCAGUGAAUGGUGGUACCAAUGAAGGACAUGAUCGUAAACUCCAGAGAAACCUGCAUCGGUGAUCGCUAGCCUCGCCUCACCCCCAACAGUGCCCCUCGCUGCCAAUUCAAUCAUAUUCAUGGGGCUCAGCUGCUUUCUCCAGCUUCAACAGGACUGUCUUUGCAGCCACCGCUGGAGCUCUACCACCUAAACACACACACACACACACACACACACACACACACACGUCUCACCACCACAUCUUUGAGAUAUUCUGCUCUAAGACUGCCUAAUACUUUCCUUCCUACAAAGUCAUGUUCCCUCUUUCCUGUAAAACUCACCACUCCAGAAAGCCCCACUUGUUUUGAUGAAUAUCCUCUCCACAGUUCCAGAUACAAACAUACACACACACACACACACACACACACACACACACAUACAUCGCAGGUGCUUUGACCUUGGAGCAGCUGGGCCUGGGUUCAAAUCCCAGCUCUGUCACUUUCUGUUCACAGAGGCCAGUCACAGCCUCUCUGAGAUUUGCUCUCCUCAUCUGUGUCGCGGAGACUUAUAAUGCCCUCCAGGCAAGGUGGUGGUGCGAUGACUACCCAGCACACACGACGUUUUCCAUGAAAGUCCCCUCCUUCCCUGUGUUUUCAUCUGCACAUGGAUUUUCUUCCUCCAGGAGCUCUCAGGCUCCCAUGUGUGUGGAGGACAUGAGAGUGGGUGCACUCAUCUCCCCUGUUAGAACUGAGGCUCUCCACUGGGACUGGGCUAGGGCUUGGCAUAUAGCUGACCUCAAAAUCUGGCAGACAUGGUGAGGGGAGUGAGAUGAAGACUGGUCAGAGGGCAGUGACUGAGCAGGGGCCCUGUUAGUCUCAGUGGAAGGCACCAGGAGGGGGGCACCUGGAGGCAGAGUUUCAGGGGGGUGGGAUCAGGGUUGGUGGGGCACUGAUGAUAGAUUGGUCCAGGAAAGAUACUGGAGUAAACUCUAGGUGGGAGAGGGCAGAACUUCAGCUGCCAGAAAACUAAGCAAGAGACACCAGAAGAGAGGGGAACAGGAUUCUCACCUUUGUGGCACCCACACCCAACUCUUGGGGAGGAGGUUGCCUGGGGAGUCCCCAGGCCUGGGCCUCCUCCCCUGGUGGUCUUGGCCAUGCAGCCCAGAGCCCAUUUCUCCCCAGUCCCACCCACCCCAUCUCCACCCCUCACCUCUUUCAGGUUGAACCUCAUGUGAUGACAGAGGAUGUGGAAGGGGGGCUGGGUGCCUCCACCCUGAGGGCGGUAGCCUUUGACCCGAGAGGCCUCGAAAAGUCUUGGGUAGCCAAACUGGUAGCGGGCAGGGAGGGCGAAGCGCAGCCCGUGCCGGUCCCCGUAGCGAUGCAGCAGGCUCAGCACAGAGCUGCUCCCGGAUUUAUGAGUCUUGAGGAACACGAGUCGCUGUCGUGGUGAGCAGGACGGAAGAGCUAGUCCCGGGGAUGGAGCCCAGGACUGUCGGAGCUGCAGCCCGGGGAGCCUGGGAAGAGACAGGAGGGGAAGUGUCCUGUCCCUCGGCAACAGGUGCAUGGGUGUCUGUGCAGUAAGGACAGAGGACGUGAAGCAUCCUCUGAGUCCCCAAGGGUCGCAGCCCCAGGUGGAUGGGGAGGAGCACGUGGGGAGGGGGGCAUCUGCAGGGGCAUUAAGACAAGAUGAGAACUCACCUCCUCUGGAAGGGACCCCCCCAGAACUGGAGGGCAAAUCCGAUGGUCAUGAAGACUCCCAGAGCCACCCCCAGGCUCCGAGGCCCCCAGAGGCGCAUGGUCCUGGUAGGAGACAGAUGGCCCAUGUGGCACCGGGAAGGGUGAUGCUAUUGAGGGACAGGGACAGGCACAGAAGCAGAGGCAGCUUGAGACAGCCGUGCGGACGCAGAAGGCGCCGGUUCGAGGCCGGGGGGUCAUUCCCCAGAUCUGCUCGCAGCCCCGGUUGAGUCUGCCCCCUGAGUUAGCAGAUUUUUGCCUCUGUCAGCGUCUAGAAGGGAAAUGAGGGGGAAGAAGGGGAGUCUAAGGAGAGGGUAGAGCUAGCUCUCCUGCUGCUACUGCAGCUGAAACUUCAUUUCGGGUGGGAGGGGCAGCGGGGCAGGGUGUGUGGAGGGGUGCCUCUCUACCCUCAGGUCUUCUAGGUGUCCCGCAACUGCUCCUCUAGGUGCCAUCAGCCUCCAGCGCCCACCGACAGUUUCUCCUGGGCAUCGGGGAUUUGGAAGAAAAGGGGAAAGUUCAGCCCAGUCGGCUCAUACCAGUCCCCCGGCCGCCUCCUCAGCCCCCGUCUGUGAUAAGCUGGGAUGAAGAGCCCCAUUCUGAGGCUGAGAGCGGGAGCCAUGAGGAGGGAAUGAGGGCCCGACAAGACACCGGCUUAGGAACCCGGCGAGGCCCCAGCUUCUCAAUCAACCAGGAGCCCAGACUUGACCCGUCAAAUUACAGUGCACAGCCACGGGCCACAGCCCCUCCAACAAGCCCCGAGAGCCCUCUUCCAGGACGAGCCCAGAGUGACCCCAGGCGGAGAACCCACACUUGCUACCCAGAGACCCGCCCCCUCUGGCAUCAUCCCCCAGCCCAGCCCCCAGGACCCAGCCCCGCACUGGACUCCCCUCUAUAUCCAGAUUUCUUCUUAUCCUCCCAUCCAUCUCUGUCUCCUCCCAUUACCCCCAUUCCAGCCCGCUGUCCCCUCCAGCGUUGGUGACUGCUCAGUCUGUCUCCAGCCCUGGGCUGGCUCCCACCGGGAUUCUUUCCCAUAAAUUCUAGAGAUCCUCCCUCCACUGGCCGAGGCCUCAGCUUCACUUGCCCACUCACCAGGCCACCUGAGGAGCAGCAGGGAAAUCAGGGUCUUGUCCUCCCGCCUGCCCCAGCCACCGCCCGAUUCCUCGCUCGGCUCAACUCUCCCCAUAAACUUUCUCGGCGCCCAAGCUCCUCCCCCUCCCUCCCUUUGUCCCGCCAGUCUCUGUAGCUGAUUCAGCUUUGAUCGCGUCCCUGGGUCUCUCCCUCCCUGCAUCUUUCCCUCACUGUCAGGACACUCAGCCUGCCCUUGCAAGACACCAUUUCCACCCUCCCUUCACACUCAGGAAUCCAUUGUACCUUUUCCCUCUGCCUUCUGCAGGACAAAAGACUCAUUCAGGCGACCGAAAGAAAGAAGGAGAAAGUUAUCAGACAAGAAUUGAAAGCAGGAUGUGAACAAGGUAACCUGAGGCUGAUACGGAGAACAGGGGCCGCCAGGGGCAGUGGUGUGGUCGUAUUAAUGACGCAUCGGCUCCAAAAGAAUUUUGCCAGUGCCCACAAUUCUCCCCACUUUGCAGAUGAAGGUGCUCAGACCCGGAGGGUGGACACCUUGCCCAUACUCAAUCCCUGGGGAACAGGUUCCAAGAGAGGCAAGAAGUAGGCAGAAAAUGAGCUGCCAAUCACAGAGGCUUGGGGGCUGAAGGUACCGAAAGUCACACACAGUGUUCAAUAAAUUAGCAGUUUAUUUAUGGAAUAAACACUGAAGCAUGAAAUGAGUAAGCUUGUGAAGGAUGUGGUGGAUGGCAGAGGCCAUGAGAUGAACUUUUUUUUUUUUUUUUUUGGCAUUUAGUUUAAAAAAUUGAUACUGAAAAAACUCAAUAGAACCCAGGUCCAUAGAGCCUGACAUCCUAUUCACACCCACCCUGGUCCCCUGCCCUGCACCCCGUCAGCACCCAGCUUUGUCUGUUUCUGAGACUGGGUGCCCCCACCCAUUCCUACUUCCAACUUCCUUCAGACCCACCCCUCCCUCCCUCCUGGUUGCAGCUGACCACCAGCCCAACCACAGAGGCUGGGCUGGAGAGACCACACCUCCUUCCUACAUAAAUACCCGCAGCCCCUCCUCCCCAGAUACUAAAUGAAAAAAUAAACAUUGUGAACACCCUCCCCCAACCCACCAAUGGAAAUCUGGAUUUGGGGCCCCAGCCAUUCACCCAAAAAGUCCUUCUUCUAGCCUCUCUGCAGCCCCCUUCGACUCCUCCCCAGACUCUCUCCAGGGGGGGAGGAGGGGAAGGGCCAUGAACCCUUCUGAUGCCAGGGCACCCCUCCCCUGUUAUCGAGGUCCAAGCAGGGCGAGGGCUGAGAGGAAGAGAAUGAGGAGAGGUUGGGCAUGAAAACCAAUAGAUGUCCCUCCAGUCCUGUUCCUGUCCUGGUUGUGGCGGAUAAGGACAUCGCCUCCUUUACCCCCAGCACUAUCCCUUCGAGGAGGGCGAAGAGGCCGGCCUGGGGGGGCCGCAGCUGCUGCCCCAGCCAUCCAGUCAUCUGCAUAGUGCUGUCCCUCUCCGGAGCCGCUAGCGUCCUCUGCAGGGUGGAGGAAGAUCAGAAGAAGACAGGGAUGGGAAAGAGAGGUAGCAGGAGAUGGGGAGAGAGAAAGAAAUGCAGGCAAGGAGGAAAAGAACUCGUGAUAAAAUCAGUGAAGGAGGGGAGCAGGCAGGUUGGGAGGAGGGAGAAAGUGAGUGGCAGGAAGGCAAGGAGUGAGAGAUCAGACAUGGGAAUAGGCAAAGAAAACAAGAGACAGGAAGAGACGAUGAGACAGAGACAGAAAAGAGAGACAGAUGGGGAGAGAGGAUAAACAGAAAAAGACAGAGAAAACAGACACAGAAGCAGCAGCGAGCAGACGGGAAGGGGUGGGGAGGAGAGACAGAGACAGUGGGAGAAAAGAAAAAAAUGUAAAUGCCUUGCUUUUCUCUGGCAAACUCUACCCCUACCCCACUUCCCCACCGCCCCGGAUCGCCGCCCUCCCCAGUCUCUCACAGCCCAUUGCCCACUCUCAGGAGCUUCCGUCCAGUUCUGUAAGAAUGUUUGGUGUCUUCCCGCGCAUUGGUCUUCUACGCCCCUUCCUUUGAGAUAAGCGUUGCGUACGAGCGUGUAAAUUGAGUGAGUGAAUGAAUGAACGGUAACUGAGAUGCCAGGGGAGGAGCUACAGAAGGCAGGGGGCGGGGUUACGAUUUGGCCGGAGUCCAAUCAUGGGCAGCUGGGAGGAGCGAGGCCCUCGCUCCGCCCCCGGGUCUCACCCCAGUCCUCCUGCUCCAAGUCGCGUCCUUGGGCGGCCGCCUUCAUCCUGGUCGUGGCUGCGCGCAGCUUCAGCCGCCGCCUCCGCGUCUGAAGGUCGGGGCUCGAGGCUUCCGCAUCCAGCUCUGGGUUGUCGAGGUGCAUCAAACCCUCUGAGAUCUUCGCCCCGAGGGACUGGGCUGCUAACUCAAAGGAAAAGGGGCCCUGGAUCUUCUCAGCCAGGAACAGGAGACCAUCUUGAAAGAGAGGAAGAGAGAAAAGGUGAAAUGAAGGGACAUUCACUUCUGAGAUUCUCACUGAACUGGGAAGUUCCCACAGAUCUGGCCCGGAGGGAAGCAGCAAGUCUUAGAUGGGGGCAACUCACGGGAGAAGAGCCCCGUCCUCUCCCCUCAGUGCUGCUUAAAACUCCCUCCCCAGUCCACACUGUCCACCCCCACGCAGACAGCCCCCUCCCAGGCUUUCCUGAAUCCCCUCACCCAGGUAGGGCCCCCAGUCAGGAUCCAAUCCCUGGCUGCCGAUACAGCCAUGGGCCACGUUGAGGCAGAAGCCCCGGCAGGGUGGCAGCGAGGGGACCCCCCGGCAAAGGGGGCAACCUGUCAGACGCAUCACAGCCCGCCUGCAGCCUUCGGACAUCGGCAUCUGGGAGCAGAGAGCAGGGCUGUGUCAUCCACAGACACCGUGGCUACCUUCAGCCAAGCCUGGUGCCGGGCACGGAGAGAAACCAAACCUCCCACCCCACCUUUCCCAAGUUCUGCAUGUGAACAUCUAGAGCUGGGCGUGAACAUCUAGAAUUGAUGACCCCAUGUGGCAUCAGGAGUGAUCCCAAGGCUGCCACAGAUCUGAGGAGGGAGCUUCCUAAGGGCCAGGGUGCAGACACUGCUUCUUGGGAAAGAUGGAACUAGAAGGGUGGUGGGGGUGAGGGUGGGGGUCUGAGAAAAGGUUCAAGGAAAAGAGUGAGCCCAUCCUGGUUGCGGAGAAAGGAGACUGACGAUGCAGGAGGUAAGGCUGGGAGGUUAGAGAAGAAUGGGCAGUUGAGACAGGGCCUUAAAGGCCAGGCCAGGAAUCUGGCCUCCAGUAGCAGAGAAAAGGGAGCCACUGAGGGGUCCUGGGGAAAACCAGGAGGGCCAGUACUCCAAUCUCAGAGAUGCUGGGAGCAGGUCCCCAGCGUAUGGCAGGGGUAAGAGUCAUCAGAGGGUCAGAGGUGGGAGGAGGUCAAGGGUCAUAGCACAAGGGAGACGCUAGCCUUCCUGUUUUACUUGGGGAUGCCAGGGCCUUGAGGCUGAUAUGGGAAGGCCCAGGCCCUCCCUCUCCUGCCAGUUGGCACCUGACUCUUCCACAUGGGGCCUCUCCUACUUCUUCCUCUCCCUCCCUGGGCCCUGCCCCCUCUAACCUUAAGUGUUUCGCUGACCACAUCUCUUCCAGUCUCCAGGCCCUGGACAAAGGCCCGGGCAGCCACCAGGGCUCGGGUUAUCUGGGGAAGAGGAAAGAAGGUGAGAAAAAGCACAGCAUUGUCGAGGGUCCGUCAACACUGGGGCCAAGAGACUGCACCAAGGGGAUGAGCACUUAGGGCCAGUGUGUGAACCAAGAAGGAGCCGUUCUCCUCUACCAGGCCUCGGAAGGUGGUCUCAGUCUCCCAGGUCAGCCUCUGCUCUAUCUCACUGGAACAGCAGGUGUACUCCUGGGGACAGAUCCGGAGGUGCUCACCUGGACAGGGGAGACAUGAAAGAACGGCAGGAGGUCCAGGACCAGGACCGGGACACAGAGGCAACAGCAGAAGCAGAAGAGAUCGCAGAGCGUACAUAACUGCUGCCACCUCGGGACGGCAAAGUGGGUGCUAAGGAGGAAAGAAGAGCCCCUCGAACUCGGGA